AUGGUUGUUUAUUUUCUUGAAUUGCUAAAUUCUCAUAAAGUUUACGCACAAGUCCCUUUGUACCUCUUAAAUUUAAAAAUGAGUUAAAUAGAGUAGAAAUUUGUCACCACCCAUAUUUUUUACUCUCGGGAUUCGUAAUGGCGCCUAAGGAGCUAGGCAAGCCAAUCCCUUAGUUAGUGAAGAAUAAGCUGAUUAAAUUGACGAGAAAUCUCUCCAGAAUAGUGAAGUACUGUAGCAUG
RNAcentral lists this long non-coding RNA (239 nucleotides) under Nicotiana benthamiana. Its description in RNAcentral is "long non-coding RNA (NBEN_LNC015488)". Lineage: Eukaryota; Viridiplantae; Streptophyta; Magnoliopsida; Solanales; Solanaceae. The record is from RNAcentral.